This 289-nucleotide long non-coding RNA is filed under the name Musa acuminata (dwarf banana). RNAcentral describes it as "long non-coding RNA (MACU_LNC005218)". Lineage: Eukaryota; Viridiplantae; Streptophyta; Magnoliopsida; Zingiberales; Musaceae. The record is from RNAcentral.
GCCAAUCGGUCAAUAGUCUCACUGUCCAUAAAAUUGUUAGUGCUGCCAAUAUCAAUCAAAACUAUAACAGGCUGAUGUUCCAGAGUUUCGCCAACUUCCAUAGUUUGCGGGUUAGAGUAGUCGGCUAAUGCAUGCAUUGUAUGUAUGGUAGGUCCAACAUCUUCAUUAGAAUUUAUACCUUCAUGAUCGGAGUCCACAUUCUUAGCUUUCGGUUCCUCUCCAAUUGGUUCAAUCAUCAAAAGUUGCCCUUGUUUACAUCGGUGCUCCAUACUCCAUUUUUCAUCAUAAU